AGAGUUUGAUCAUGGCUUAGGACGAACGCUGGCGGCGCGCCUAAUACAUGCAUGUCGAGCGAGAACCAGGGCUUGCCCUGGGGAGAGCGGCGAACGGGUGCGUAUCACGUGAGCAACCUGCCUCAGAGACCGGGAUAACUCGAGGAAACUCGGGCUAAUACCGGAUGCCCUCGGUGGACCGCAUGGUCCGGCGAGGAAAUGGAUUCCGCUCUGAGAUGGGCUCGCGGCCUAUCAGCUUGUUGGUGGGGUAACGGCCUACCAAGGCAACGACGGGUAGCUGGUCUGAGAGGACGAUCAGCCACACUGGGACUGAGACACGGCCCAGACUCCUACGGGAGGCAGCAGUAGGGAAUCUUGCGCAAUGGGGGAAACCCUGACGCAGCGACGCCGCGUGCGGGAUGAAGGCCUUCGGGUCGUAAACCGCUUUCAGCAGGGACGAAAUUGACGGUACCUGCAGAAGAAGGCCCGGCCAACUACGUGCCAGCCGCCGCGGUAAUACA
Molecule: ribosomal RNA, 500 nt
Filed under: uncultured actinomycete
Lineage: Bacteria; Bacillati; Actinomycetota; Actinomycetes; Actinomycetales
Description: bacterial SSU rRNA
Rfam family: Bacterial small subunit ribosomal RNA
Source: RNAcentral